Hordeum vulgare subsp. vulgare (domesticated barley) is the source of this 125-nucleotide non-coding RNA. NCBI's taxonomy places the organism in Eukaryota, Viridiplantae, Streptophyta, Magnoliopsida, Poales, Poaceae. The record is from Rfam.
UAUGUACUCCCUUCGUCCGGAAAUACUUGUCAUAAGAACAAAUGUAUCUAGAUGUAUUUUAGUUAUAGAUACAUCCAUUUUUAUUCAUUUAUACGACAAGUAAUUUCGAACGGAGGGAGUAGUAU